GAUCAGACAAAUUAGGAGAUAGGUAUCUGGAACUUGUACCCAUCAUUGGAUGAGGGAUACUGACGGGGCCAGAUCCAGAACGCAAACGAGUCUGCCCAGGAUUCGCACCUGAAAGAUAUGUUGGUGGCGAUGGAGAUGGAGAUGGUGAAAAUGGAGGUGAAAGCUGGUAUUCAUCAAAGCUCGUUGCUUUGUGGUGAAUGGGCAGUCUAUUGUUAGGUGAAACCCUGUGUCCAUGUACAUCACUGGGUGAAGAUGAAAGCUCAUGCGGUGGCCGGUACAGAGGUGGAGAUCCUACAUAUGGCUGUGUCCGAGGUAAAGAAGGUGACGUGAGG
RNAcentral lists this unclassified non-coding RNA (332 nucleotides) under Hevea brasiliensis (rubber tree). Lineage: Eukaryota; Viridiplantae; Streptophyta; Magnoliopsida; Malpighiales; Euphorbiaceae. The record is from RNAcentral.